GCCCUCGUGGUGUAGUGGUCAGCACACUCGAUGCGUAUUCUAGAGGUACGUGGUUCAAGUCCCGGUGAGGGCA
This 73-nucleotide transfer RNA is filed under the name Stegodyphus mimosarum. It matches the Rfam family "tRNA". From Rfam's summary of the family: Transfer RNA (tRNA) molecules are approximately 80 nucleotides in length. Their secondary structure includes four short double-helical elements and three loops (D, anti-codon, and T loops). Further hydrogen bonds mediate the characteristic L-shaped molecular structure. tRNAs have two regions of fundamental functional importance: the anti-codon, which is responsible for specific mRNA codon recognition, and the 3' end, to which the tRNAs corresponding amino acid is attached (by aminoacyl-tRNA synthetases). tRNAs cope with the degeneracy of the genetic code in two manners: having more than one tRNA (with a specific anti-codon) for a particular amino acid; and 'wobble' base-pairing, i.e. permitting non-standard base-pairing at the 3rd anti-codon position. The record is from Rfam by way of RNAcentral. Lineage: Eukaryota; Metazoa; Arthropoda; Arachnida; Araneae; Eresidae.